RNAcentral lists this ribosomal RNA (1322 nucleotides) under metagenome. RNAcentral describes it as "SSU rRNA". It matches the Rfam family "Eukaryotic small subunit ribosomal RNA", at positions 403 to 1801 of the family's 1831-position model. The record is from RNAcentral.
ACGGCUACCACAUCUACGGAAGGCAGCAGGCGCGAAAAUUGCCCAAUCCUGAUUCAGGGAGGCAGUGACAAGAAAUAACAACUUUCAACUUUGUUGAAAAGUGUAAUGAGGAUAAUUUACAAACCUUACCGAAAGCAAUUGGAGGGCAAGUCUGGUGCCAGCAGCCGCGGUAAUUCCAGCUCCAAAAGCGUAUAUUAAAGUUGUUGCAGUUAAAAAGCUCGUAGUUGAAGUUCUGGCUGUAUUGGGCCUUAGCACUUGAUGCGGAGGAACCAGCAGUCAUCCGCUUGCAAAUACAUGUCCUUCCUUAACCGGUAGGCUGUAUAAGUAAGCACUUUACCUUGAGAAAAACAGAGUGUUCCAGGCAGGUUUGUCCGGAAUGCGUUAGCAUGGAAUAAUAGAAUAUGACUGAAGUCGAUUUAUUGUUUAAGGCUUUAGUAAUGAUUAAUAGGAACAAUCGGGGGCAUUGGUACUUGUCAGUCAGAGGUGAAAUUCUAGGAUUUGACAAAGACUAACUGAUGCGAAAGCGUUUGCCAAGAAUGUUUUCAUUAAUCAAGAACGAAAGUUAGGGGAUCAAAGACGAUCAGAUACCGUCCUAGUCUUAACUAUAAACUAUACCGACUCGGAUUUAGAUGAAUUUUAAAGUUCAUUUGGGACCGUAGGAGAAGUCAAAGUCUUUGGGUUCUGGGGGGAGUAUGGUCGCAAGGCUGAAACUUAAAGGAAUUGACGGUUUUGCACCACCAUGGAGUGGAGCCUGCGGCUUAAUUUGACCCAACACUGGGAAACUCAUCAGGGCAAGAAGAUUUUAGGAUUGACAGAUUGAGAGUUCUUUCUUGAUUGGUCUAGUGGUGGUGCAUGGCCGUUCUUAGUUGGUGGAGUGAUUUGUCUGGUUAACUCCGUUAACGAACGAGACCUUAACCUGCUAACUAGUACUUUGAUUUUCAAUCGGAGUUACUUCUUAGAGGGACUAUGUGAGUAAUCACAUGGAAGUUUGAGGCAAUAACAGGUCUGUGAUGCCCUUAGAUGUCCUGAGCUGCACGCGCGCUACAAUGACACAUUCAGCGAGUAUUUCCUGACCCGAAAGGGCUCGGGUAAUCUUUUCAGUGUGUGUCGUGAUAGGGAUAGAUCUUUGUAAUUAUGGAUCUUGAACGAGGAAUUCCUAGUAAGCGCACGUCAUCAGCGUGUGCUGAUUACGUCCCUGCAAAAUGUACACACCGCCCGUCGCUAUUACCGAUUGGGUGUAUAGGCGAACCUUCUCGAUAGCCGCAAGGCUAGACAUUAAGUAAACCUUUGCACCUAGAGGAAAUAAAAGUCGUAACAAGGUU